This 77-nucleotide transfer RNA is filed under the name Peptococcaceae bacterium. RNAcentral's name for it is "tRNA-Arg". It matches the Rfam family "tRNA". Rfam says of the family: Transfer RNA (tRNA) molecules are approximately 80 nucleotides in length. Their secondary structure includes four short double-helical elements and three loops (D, anti-codon, and T loops). The record is from RNAcentral. Lineage: Bacteria; Bacillati; Bacillota; Clostridia; Eubacteriales; Peptococcaceae.
GUGCCAGUAGCUCAGCUGGAUAGAGCAUCGGCCUUCUAAGCCGAGGGUCGGGGGUUCGAGUCCCUCCAGGCGUGCCA